GCAACUUCAUCCAUCUCUGAAACAUCAACAAGAAUAACUAGCUAAAAAACUCUUGAUGUCUUAUAAGUUUUUCAGAACAACAAACAGCCCACUUUCAUAGCUGCCUCCUAUUUGCAUAAACAGUGAUGAUUUAUGCACUUCAUUUCAAAAUAACACAUAAGAAAUAAUAAACGAAUCAGUGCAAAAGUAUGUCGAUGUCUAAGACACCAACAGCAUUAAAGAAAAGUUAGGAAACUUACUUUCCUGAACUGCUUACAGAAAGA
This 263-nucleotide unclassified non-coding RNA is filed under the name Hevea brasiliensis (rubber tree). The record is from RNAcentral. Lineage: Eukaryota; Viridiplantae; Streptophyta; Magnoliopsida; Malpighiales; Euphorbiaceae.